RNAcentral lists this transfer RNA (74 nucleotides) under Gemmatimonadota bacterium. RNAcentral's name for it is "Gemmatimonadetes bacterium (groundwater metagenome) tRNA-Val". It matches the Rfam family "tRNA". From Rfam's summary of the family: Transfer RNA (tRNA) molecules are approximately 80 nucleotides in length. Their secondary structure includes four short double-helical elements and three loops (D, anti-codon, and T loops). Lineage: Bacteria; Pseudomonadati; Gemmatimonadota. The record is from RNAcentral.
GGUCGCUUAGCUCAGUUGGUUAGAGCGUUCGGUUCACAUCCGAAAGGUCCCAGGUUCGAGUCCUGGAGCGACCA